UGCAGUCGAGCGGGGAAGGUAGCUUGCUACUGGACCUAGCGGCGGACGGGUGAGUAAUGCUUAGGAAUCUGCCUAUUAGUGGGGGACAACAGUUGGAAACGGCUGCUAAUACCGCAUACGCCCUACGGGGGAAAGCAGGGGAUCUUCGGACCUUGCGCUAAUAGAUGAGCCUAAGUCGGAUUAGCUAGUUGGUGGGGUAAAGGCCUACCAAGGCGACGAUCUGUAGCGGGUCUGAGAGGAUGAUCCGCCACACUGGGACUGAGACACGGCCCAGACUCCUACGGGAGGCAGCAGUGGGGAAUAUUGGACAAUGGGGGCAACCCUGAUCCAGCCAUGCCGCGUGUGUGAAGAAGGCCUUUUGGUUGUAAAGCACUUUAAGCGAGGAGGAGGCUACUUAGAUUAAUACUCUAGGAUAGUGGACGUUACUCGCAGAAUAAGCACCGGCUAACUCUGUGCCAGCAGCCGCGGUAAUACAGAGGGUGCGAGCGUUAAUCGGAUUUACUGGGCGUAAAGCGUGCGUAGGCGGCUGAUUAAGUCGGAUGUGAAAUCCCUGAGCUUAACUUAGGAAUUGCAUUCGAUACUGGUCAGCUAGAGUAUGGGAGAGGAUGGUAGAAUUCCAGGUGUAGCGGUGAAAUGCGUAGAGAUCUGGAGGAAUACCGAUGGCGAAGGCAGCCAUCUGGCCUAAUACUGACGCUGAGGCACGAAAGCAUGGGGAGCAAACAGGAUUAGAUACCCUGGUAGUCCAUGCCGUAAACGAUGUCUACUAGCCGUUGGGGCCUUUGAGGCUUUAGUGGCGCAGC
RNAcentral lists this ribosomal RNA (800 nucleotides) under Acinetobacter sp. 2P2C6. Its description in RNAcentral is "bacterial SSU rRNA". It matches the Rfam family "Bacterial small subunit ribosomal RNA", at positions 56 to 852 of the family's 1533-position model. Lineage: Bacteria; Pseudomonadati; Pseudomonadota; Gammaproteobacteria; Moraxellales; Moraxellaceae. The record is from RNAcentral.